RNAcentral lists this transfer RNA (63 nucleotides) under Huananpotamon koatenense. Its description in RNAcentral is "tRNA-Tyr". It matches the Rfam family "tRNA". From Rfam's summary of the family: Transfer RNA (tRNA) molecules are approximately 80 nucleotides in length. The record is from RNAcentral. Lineage: Eukaryota; Metazoa; Arthropoda; Malacostraca; Decapoda; Potamidae.
GAUAAAGUGGCUGAGAGAAAGCGGUGAAUUGUAAAUUCAUAAACAAGUUUAUCUUCUUUAUCA